This 83-nucleotide transfer RNA is filed under the name Trichosporon asahii var. asahii CBS 8904. It matches the Rfam family "tRNA". Rfam says of the family: Transfer RNA (tRNA) molecules are approximately 80 nucleotides in length. Their secondary structure includes four short double-helical elements and three loops (D, anti-codon, and T loops). Lineage: Eukaryota; Fungi; Basidiomycota; Tremellomycetes; Trichosporonales; Trichosporonaceae. The record is from Rfam by way of RNAcentral.
GCAAAUAUGUCGGAAUUGGUAGACGAGCUUUAUUUAGGAUUAGGUGUCCAAAAGGCGUGAGAGUUCGAGUCUCUCUAUUUGUA